Stylophora pistillata is the source of this 1789-nucleotide long non-coding RNA. The record is from RefSeq and is a predicted model, not a curated record. Lineage: Eukaryota; Metazoa; Cnidaria; Anthozoa; Scleractinia; Pocilloporidae.
UACAAUCAGCAUUAUAAAAACUAAAAGAAGAGCUUGAGAGUCACAAUCUUUAGUGGAAGGGGCAGCGAAAGAAUUCAGUGAAAAGACGAACGACAUCCUACCUACGUUGAGGAACGAAAACAAACGCUUUUGAAAGAAGAGGCCAUGUUUCAAGAUGGAAUAUCAAAGUGUGUGACGACAGAAACAGAUUUGAACAAUAAAUUUGAAAAACCAGAAAAAAUGGAACUCGAGCGAAGAAGAAGAGUUAGUGCACCAGCCAAACCGUACGGAGGUUCACAAAUGCCGGAUCACAAAUUAGAACAAACAUUUUAUGAAGGCGGAAAGAAGCUUUCUCAGUCAGCUUUGUUCAUUUCGCCAUCAUGGCAGAGUUUUGAGGGAGAGGAUGUCGACGGUGACCCACUGCACACAAGUUGGGACUACAUCAAAGAGAUGAUGAAGGACAGCAAAAAAGCAGAGAGAAUUAAGCUUUUGAAAACACAACAAGUCAGUGGUUCCGUCAAGGCACUCAGUCCAGAAACUACAGCAGAAACAAAGACGACUUUAAAGCAACUUAGGAAGGAGAUAUCGAGGAGAUUUUCCCGUGCAAGAGCAGACUCAACAGGCUCUUUGUUACCUUGGAUGGAUUGUAACGACUGGAAGGAGCCUUCGGAAGAUUUCAUUCCAGUUGAAUUUAAUCUUGGCUUCUUGGAUGACUAUAUGUAAGGUGUUAGAUGGUAAUUUAUUGUGAAUUUAUAGCUGUUGUCGAUGAUCCAAAAUGUCCAUGUAGAACCGCAGCCAGAUCGGUUAGUGUAGGGUCCCUUUUGGCCAUGGCGAGACCAUGCUUCAGUUUUUCAAAAGCAAGAUAUAUAAUGCUUUUUGUACGCGCCGAUCGGCCAGUUCCGAAUACAUUAGUAAACAAUUUUCACUUCCACCGAGCAGUCGAACAGACUGAAUUGCCCAUCAAAAGUUGAAUUUCCGUCCGGCCCUCCCACUCAGUCACCAUCUACACAAUCCCGCUGCUAGCGUAAAGUUCCUAUUCAAAACAUGUAUUUCUACACAUUUAAAUGUAAUGCACAGAUACGUUAAAUUCAAACACAUUUCGUGGUUUUAGUUGCUUUGGAAAACAAAAUUGUCAUUAAAGUUACACUGUAGCACGUAUGCACCAUGCUAUGACAUCACACGACUCUUGCUUCGUCUAAUAUGAAUCAUUUGUAAUCAUAUCACGUGACAAACGAGUAGAGUUGUUUUCAUCACAAAACUUUGUUUACGACAAGGUUGUUAGUUGGCUGCAUUCAGUUUCACUAUUUGGUAAACUAAUUUGGCAGACUCAUGUUAAAUUCACGCUGCAUAGCAAUUCGAAAACAUAAGAGUUCUCUAAGUCACAAAAUUUCGAAAAGCCGCAACGAAGUAGUACAAAUUAUUUACUGUUAUGGUACAGAUUAUUUGUGACUUAGCGCUCACAUUAAGUGAUUUAUAGGUUUGAGAGAAGGCAAAAGAAAAAUGUCGUCAACGUUACACCCGAAUCACAGGGAAUUAAAAAGUAAUGAAAAACCUGUUAGACUAGUUUGGUGAAGUAUUUUAAAAUAUGGCUUUUGUUUGCAUGCUCUUACAUUUGUUUGUGAACAAUAUCGAAAAUGUAAAAUGUAAACUAUGGUCCUCAAGUUAUUGGCUUCGAGUUUUAUAAAGACAGAGGUUAAGGAAAAACAAUAUUAGUUACUGAACUCAUUGGAAAAUGCGAUAAAAGUUUAGUCAAUUAUUCCUUAAGAACUUGUUGAUUAAUAUUUGUACUAUAAACUUUCAGAAAAUUUAA